CGUUCCCGGGCCUUGUACACACCGCCCGUCACACCACGAAAGUUGGCAAUACCCGAAGCCGGUGGCCUAACCCGCAAGGGAGGGAGCCGUCUAAGGUAGGGUCGAUGAUUGGGGUG
RNAcentral lists this ribosomal RNA (116 nucleotides) under uncultured bacterium. Its description in RNAcentral is "partial 16S ribosomal RNA". It matches the Rfam family "Bacterial small subunit ribosomal RNA", at positions 1369 to 1482 of the family's 1533-position model. The record is from RNAcentral.